This 253-nucleotide ribosomal RNA is filed under the name uncultured bacterium. RNAcentral's name for it is "partial 16S ribosomal RNA". It matches the Rfam family "Bacterial small subunit ribosomal RNA", at positions 524 to 776 of the family's 1533-position model. The record is from RNAcentral.
UACGUAGGGUGCGAGCGUUAAUCGGAAUUACUGGGCGUAAAGUGUGCGCAGGCGGCCAUGCAAGUCGAGUGUGAAAGCCCCGGGCUUAACUUGGGAAUUGCGCUCGAAACUACGUGGCUGGAGUGUGGCAGAGGAAGGUGGAAUUCCACGUGUAGCGGUGAAAUGCGUAGAGAUGUGGAGGAAUACCGAUGGCGAAGGCAGCCCCCUGGGCCAAUACUGACGCUCAUGCACGAAAGCGUGGGGAGCAAACAGG